RNAcentral lists this ribosomal RNA (253 nucleotides) under uncultured bacterium. Its description in RNAcentral is "partial 16S ribosomal RNA". It matches the Rfam family "Bacterial small subunit ribosomal RNA", at positions 524 to 776 of the family's 1533-position model. The record is from RNAcentral.
UACGGAGGGUCCGAGCGUUAUCCGGAUUUAUUGGGUUUAAAGGGUGCGUAGGCGGCCUAUUAAGUCAGGGGUGAAAGACGGUAGCUCAACUAUCGCAGUGCCUUUGAUACUGAUGGGCUUGAAUACACUAGAGGUAGGCGGAAUGUGACAAGUAGCGGUGAAAUGCAUAGAUAUGUCACAGAACACCGAUUGCGAAGGCAGCUUACUAUGGUGCAAUUGACGCUGAGGCACGAAAGCGUGGGGAUCAAACAGG